UUUCCUACUAUUUUCUGCUCCUUUCUUCCUCCUGUCGUAAGGAAUAGUAGCUCCAAGAGUGAUACGUUUUAUCCAGCCAGACAUGGAAGCUUUAGCCAGGCUCAACCAAACAUAUGCAAUCCUUUCAUGGAGGACUCCCACCAGCCUCAGUGCUGCCGGCCCGCGGCCCGGACUAGUGACUCUUCUGUAAACUACCAAACGAGGCGACUCCACCAGUUGAGGCAGUUAUUCUUGUUCUCUCCUUCAUCUGGUCUCUACUCUUGUCCUCUUCCUAUGACUGAUGGAGGAGCUAGACUAAUUGAAUUGAGUUAUGCUGAUAUGUUGAAGAGAGUUGAUCCGUUAUGUAAAGAAUUGAAAGAUUUGGAAACCAAAGCUGAGGACACUCGUCAAAAAAGGAGAAGAAAUAACAAAAAUAAUAGCAGAACUUGAAGCCUCUAUAGCAAAAUAUAAAGAAGAAUAUGCAAUGGUUAUAUCUGAUGCUAGUGUUAUUAAGAAUGAUUUAUCAACUGUUGAG
Molecule: RNA transcript, 514 nt
Organism: Amphimedon queenslandica
Lineage: Eukaryota; Metazoa; Porifera; Demospongiae; Haplosclerida; Niphatidae
Exons: 4
Source: RefSeq, a predicted model, not a curated record